This 164-nucleotide small nuclear RNA is filed under the name Esox lucius (northern pike). RNAcentral's name for it is "U1 spliceosomal RNA". It matches the Rfam family "U1 spliceosomal RNA". Rfam says of the family: U1 is a small nuclear RNA (snRNA) component of the spliceosome (involved in pre-mRNA splicing). Its 5' end forms complementary base pairs with the 5' splice junction, thus defining the 5' donor site of an intron. The record is from Rfam by way of RNAcentral. Lineage: Eukaryota; Metazoa; Chordata; Actinopteri; Esociformes; Esocidae.
AUACUUACCUGGCAAGGGAGAGACCGUGAUCACCAAGGCGGUUCACCCAGGGCGAGGCUCGGCCAUUGCACUCCGGCUGUGCUGACCCCUGCGAAUUUCCCAAAUGUGGAAAUCUCGAUUGCAUAAUUUCUGGUAGUGGGGGACUGCGUUCGCGCUCUCCCCUG